UGGCGAACGGGUGAGUAACACGUGACCAACCUGCCUCUUACAUUGGGACAACCAAAAGAAAUUCUGGCUAAUACCAAAUACUCCGCACAUAUCACAUGAUGUAUGCGGGAAAGCUUUUGCGGUAAGAGAUGGGGUCGCGGCCCAUUAGGUAGACGGCGGGGUAGAAGCCCACCGUGCCGAUGAUGGGUAGCCGGGUUGAGAGACCGACCGGCCACAUUGGGACUGAGAUACGGCCCAGACUCCUACGGGAGGCAGCAGGA
RNAcentral lists this ribosomal RNA (260 nucleotides) under uncultured Cryptobacterium sp. RNAcentral's name for it is "partial 16S ribosomal RNA". It matches the Rfam family "Bacterial small subunit ribosomal RNA", at positions 96 to 354 of the family's 1533-position model. Lineage: Bacteria; Bacillati; Actinomycetota; Coriobacteriia; Eggerthellales; Eggerthellaceae. The record is from RNAcentral.